RNAcentral lists this long non-coding RNA (596 nucleotides) under Nicotiana tabacum (common tobacco). RNAcentral describes it as "long non-coding RNA (NTAB_LNC011549)". Lineage: Eukaryota; Viridiplantae; Streptophyta; Magnoliopsida; Solanales; Solanaceae. The record is from RNAcentral.
CUGGAAUGUGCUGAGAGAGGCCAAAAUAGAUCCUCCAAUCCAAACACUGUACUUCCUCUCAGGUGGGGCGACAACCUUGAUCUUCAUGCUACUUGGAGCUAAUGCUGUAAUUUCCUUGCUCAUCCUAUCAGCAAUGCCCGGGAACAUUGUGGUACCACCGCUAAGGACAAUAUUUCCAUACAGAUCCUUCCUGAUAUCAACGUCACACUUCAUAAUGGAAUUGUAUGUGGUUUCGUGAAUUCCAGCAGCUUCCAUUCCGAUCAUUGAUGGUUGGAACAGAACUUCUGGGCAGCGGAAUCUCUCAGCGCCAAUGGUGAUAACUUGUCCAUCAGGCAGCUCGUAGCUCUUCUCCACGGAUGAGCUGGUCUUUGCUGUUUCAAGUUCUUGUUCAUAGUCAAGAGCAAUGUAAGCCAACUUCUCCUUCACAUCCCUAACAAUUUCCCGCUCGGCCGUGGUGGUGAAUGAGUAGCCUCGUUCUGUGAGAAUCUUCAUGAGGUGAUCUGUGAGAUCACGCCCUGCCAGAUCAAGACGCAGGAUUGCGUGUGGGAGGGCAUAACCUUCGUAGAUGGGAACUGUGUGGCUGACACCAUCACCAG